AUACGGAGGAUCCGAGCGUUAUCCGGAUUUAUUGGGUUUAAAGGGAGCGUAGGUGGAUUGUUAAGUCAGUUGUGAAAGUUUGCGGCUCAACCGUAAAAUUGCAGUUGAAACUGGCAGUCUUGAGUACAGUAGAGGUGGGCGGAAUUCGUGGUGUAGCGGUGAAAUGCUUAGAUAUCACGAAGAACUCCGAUCGCGAAGGCAGCUCACCGGGCCGGAACUGACACUGAUGCUCGAAAGUGCGGGUAUCAAACAGGAUUAGAUACCCUGGUAGUCCGCACAGUAAACGAUGAAUACUCGCUGUUUGCGAUACACGGUAAGCGGCCAAGCGAAAGCGUUAAGUAUUCCACCUGGGGAGUACGCCGGCAACGGUGAAACUCAAAUGAAUUGGCGGG
RNAcentral lists this ribosomal RNA (392 nucleotides) under uncultured bacterium. RNAcentral describes it as "partial 16S ribosomal RNA". It matches the Rfam family "Bacterial small subunit ribosomal RNA", at positions 523 to 917 of the family's 1533-position model. The record is from RNAcentral.